UAUUUUUUUCCAAAUCCAUUAAAUGUCUAUGGACUCAUCGUGCGCAGCCCACCGAGCUAAUUAAGUGGCUGUGGCCCAAAGAACAAUGGCUCCUCCUAUUGAUUCCUUGCAAGUUGACAAGUUGCCAACUUGUUGCUGUGUUGCCAGUUGCCACAUGCUACCACGAGUUAGGGUUUCCAAAUACGACGCCAUCAUACACAUUCAUACCCUCCAACCCUUAAAAUUCGCAUCGCUAGUAAGCCCCAAAUCGUACUCCGCCGCGAGUAUUAUACUUUUUUCUGCACCACCGCCACUGCGUCUAACCAUCCUUUUUACACGAUGAUCUGAACUAUUUUAACUUCUUCAGCAAGAAAUCGUUGUACUUUGAAGGCAAAAAAGGUCGAACCUGAUUUCAGAAUGUGAAUCAGACCAGAUCUGUAUCGAACAUCAUUAGGAUAUGAAGCAUCUGAAUCUUGAAUAUGCUGCUGAAUCAGGUGCAUGUUAAGUUGAGAAUUCUGAAGUAACUUGAGAAUCUGCAAAAUCUGAUUACCUUGAGAUUUAGCUUAAUUUAGAUGUCUUAUGUCAUUCCAAGAACUAUUGCUUUAAUUCUUAAUCAUUACUUUCAUUGACCAUUGACUUUGUUGAGAAUUGGGGGAUUUUUAACCAAAGUUUCCAUAAAGAUUUAAGAGCCAUAGAACUUGGAAUGACAUCAAACAGUUGAUCUGAGCUAAAUUUUAUGGUAACCAAUUUUUGCAAAUUCUUCUCAAAAGUUAUGGGUAACCAAUUGUAUACAACACAAGUUACAUGUUGGUAGAUAGUGGAAGCUAUAAAAACCAAGUUUGGUAAAUCAUUGGUCAAGGUAAGUCCGAUAUCUUUUAAGUUGCUAUAUUUUAUCUGUUUAUUCUUGUACUAAGUUUAUAUGUUGUAUAAAAGGUUCUACUUAUUAUAUGUAACAAAAAGUGUAGUAUUUGAUUAAUCGUAUAUCAAAGUAUCAAACCACGAAAGUAAUAUUGUGAUAAAAAAACCCUUGUACAUUAUGGUUGUUUAAUUUCCCUUUUCUUAUGUGAAAAUGGUGUAUAUGAUUUUUGAAAA
Lactuca sativa (garden lettuce) is the source of this 1071-nucleotide long non-coding RNA. RefSeq lists it as uncharacterized. NCBI's taxonomy places the organism in Eukaryota, Viridiplantae, Streptophyta, Magnoliopsida, Asterales, Asteraceae. The record is from RefSeq and is a predicted model, not a curated record.